UUGUGGUGUAGUUGGGCAGUUGUAGCUCUGAUUCAACCCCUAGCCUGGGAACCUCCAUAUUGCCACAGGUGCAGCCCUAAAAAGACAAAAAAAAAUUUUUUUUUUUGAAAAACAAACAAUUUACAGUUCAAAACUGUUGACAAAUAAAACUCAACUCUUCAGAGUUCUAAAAAUGUACCAAAUGAUCUGUUAAGUAUUCUGCUUUCUACAUUUCAGUGUAUACUAGUUUUUUUAAAAGUAGAGCCUCUGGUAAGUGUGGUGUAUGUAUCUCUGUGUGGGUAUAGAAAUGAAAAGGGUGACUGUGAUUUUAAUGAAUGUCUUUUUUCUUCACUUGAUCAGAUUUUUGUUUUUGUUUUAAAGAUCCUAAGGAAAUAAUCUAGCUUUUUUGGUAGGCAUUUUUGUCCUAAAGUAAAUGUUUUAUUUAUUUAUUUACUGCUGCAUCCAUGGCAUAUGAAGUUCCCAGGCCAAGGAUUGAAUCCUAGCCAUAGCUGCAACCAGUACCAUAGCUGCAGCAACACCGGAUCCUUAACCCACUGCACCUGGCUGGGGAUCAAACCCACACUGCCACAGAGACCAUGCUGGAUCCUUAAGCUGCUGAGCCACAGAGGGAAUUCCUAUUAUUAUGAACCAGAUUGUUGAGAAUGUGAAGGGUAUGUUUGGAUCCAUCUUACGUCUUACAAAUAGUUAAUGAGCCCCUGUGUUUUGCCAGCCACAGUUAAAACAUCUGUGUUUUAACAGUGACCUUGAAACCUCUGGAAGGCUUCUUCAGAAAAGCUAGAAGCAUAUUCCUGAAGAUCUAAGAGGGUCCCCUCCAUCCAUAAGAUAAGCACUGGAAGUGCUGUGUGGAGUCCAGAGGUGAAGUGCAGCUCCUGUCUGCUACAUGAAGCCAGUGAGAUUCUCAAAGAAAUCAUCAAGAACAGUGACUUCCAAGCCUACUUUUGUCUAUCUCCCCUUUGGGCCCCUAUCUCUUUCGCCCAUAUUUUAUCUCUUUCUUCUUGUGUCUCCUCUAUUGAUUAAUGCUGUGCUAUCAUUUGAAGGAAGGUCAUGGUUCAUAAAAUAGGGGUUUUCUAUAAAGUUAACAAAGAUUCAAACCAAAAUAAAAGAAGUUUUGGGA
This is a non-coding RNA of Sus scrofa (pig), 1114 nucleotides long. NCBI's taxonomy places the organism in Eukaryota, Metazoa, Chordata, Mammalia, Artiodactyla, Suidae. The record is from RefSeq and is a predicted model, not a curated record.